This 253-nucleotide ribosomal RNA is filed under the name uncultured bacterium. RNAcentral describes it as "partial 16S ribosomal RNA". It matches the Rfam family "Bacterial small subunit ribosomal RNA", at positions 524 to 776 of the family's 1533-position model. The record is from RNAcentral.
UACGUAGGGGGCUAGCGUUGUCCGGAAUCAUUGGGCGUAAAGAGCGUGUAGGCGGCCCGGUAAGUCCGCUGUGAAAGUCGGGGGCUCAACCCUCGAAUGCCGGUGGAUACUGUCGGGCUAGAGUGCGGAAGAGGCGAGUGGAAUUCCUGGUGUAGCGGUGAAAUGCGCAGAUAUCAGGAGGAACACCAAUUGCGAAGGCAGCUUGCUGGGACGGUACUGACGCUGAGACGCGAAAGCGUGGGGAGCAAACAGG